Molecule: ribosomal RNA, 564 nt
Filed under: Protoparmeliopsis muralis
Lineage: Eukaryota; Fungi; Ascomycota; Lecanoromycetes; Lecanorales; Lecanoraceae
Description: eukaryotic LSU rRNA
Rfam family: 5.8S ribosomal RNA (bases 217-370)
Source: RNAcentral
GAACCGCGUGAAGGAUCAUUAACGAGAGGGGUUUUCGGACCCCGGGGCUUCGGCCCCUAACUCUUCACCCUCUGUCUACGUACUAUGUUGCUUUGGCGGGCCUUGGGGCUCGCCCCUGGCCGGUCGGUGGCUUAGCGGCCCCGGCUCGCUCGUGCCCGCCAGAGGCCCAUGAAACCCAACCUUAUCGUUUGUCGUCCGAGCCAAAAUAAUCGUAAAAACUUUCAACAACGGAUCUCUUGGUUCUGGCAUCGAUGAAGAACGCAGCGAAAUGCGAUAAGUAAUGUGAAUUGCAGAAUUCAGUGAAUCAUCGAAUCUUUGAACGCACAUUGCGCCCCUCGGUAUUCCGGGGGGCAUGCCUGUUCGAGCGUCAUUACACCCCUCAAGCUCCGCUUGGUAUUGGGUCCUUCGCUCUUCGGGGCGGGCCCGAAAGUUAGUGGCGGCCCGGCGUGACUUCGAGCGUAGUAAUCUUUCUCCCGCUCUGGGAGCUCACGCCGUGACCGGCCAGAACGCCCAAAUUUUUCAAUGAUUGACCUCGGAUCAGGUAGGGACACCCGCUGAACUUAA